GCUUGUUGAGGGUAGUUGACAGUGGGGGGCUGGGGUGGGUGGAAAUAGAUUAUUCAAAUCACAAAGAAGUAGGUGUGCCCUAAGUGACUGUUCCAUUACGGCGAGGAAGAAAUGUUUGCCUUCCUAAGCAUUCAUCCAACUCGCUGCUGCCGAUUGUGUGGGGCCGGAGGAGAGUGCCUGCUCACGAUCGGAAAGCAGCUCCUCUCCGUGUCCUGUGCUGGUGACUUCAGAGAGUGCAUUGUCGUGUAUGGACACCACACCGACCACUCUGUAACCCUCACCCUUCGCCCAGGCCCCUCCCUGCCUGCUCUGGCUGUGCACAGCUACCCCAGAUCCUCGCCCUGCUGUUUGUGGCCCCCACACUUUGAUUUCCCCUCGUGUCUUCACUUUCCACACUUGUACAUCCCGAAAGUUUCCAAGUCCUAUGGAUUCUGCUUCUGUUAUUUCUAAUUCAAAGGUUCUGGGCUGUGCCUUCCAACUGGAUAAAGCUGACCCUGGAAUUGGCACCUGGUGGGUGAGCAAUCAGGGUCCGUUGAAUGAAAAAUGGCCUCCACCUUAAUCAAGGUUUCAGCUCCAAAAAUAAUCCUACGUGUAUCUCUGCCCACUACUGCAUUAUCCUCCAUGACAGUCGGCUUGGAUCACAUUAUUUUAAUGUUCAGCACCUAGCUUUUUCCUGAAUCCAAUGUAAAGUACUCUUUUCUUUUUCUUUUGGCACCAGGGAUCGAACUCAGGACCUUGCGCUUGUGAGGCAGACUCAGUGCCACUGAGCUAAAUCCCUGAUCCCCAAACUACUCUUUUUAAAUACACCCCAACUUAUUUUUCCUCAGUACUCCUUCACAAACUCCUAAAUACCCUAUGCUCAACACAAAACAUACAGUUCCCAAAGGAAGAUCUUCCAGCCUACACUUACCCAACUUUGUGAUGGGAAGAAAGCCACAGGGUAGGCUGGGAAGCAGGCUCUGAAGUUUGAAUUCAGUCUGUUCUGGGCUGGUGAUAGGUGGUGAUGCUUCUUCCCAGUCUGGACAGCAGCAGUGAGUCAUUUCAGCAGGAGAAACGCAGAAACUGUAGGUGGCACCGUGCGGGCAGUGUGUUUUGGAUAUUGUCAUUCAGAAAGUUAACUGAGAUAGUCAAUGCUUAAUUAUAAAAUGGGCUUUGAGUUGGGUGGUGCUGCUUAACUGUAUGUAAGGAAGGCAGGCCAGGCACAGCUGUGAUGUCCAGUAGGUGAAGAAUAGUAAAUACAUUUUUGAUUUUUUCUAUUUAUGAUGGGUUUUAGCCUCAGUAGAAAUGCAGCAGCACCUGUAUUAUUUAUUCAUUUUGGUCUCUGCCUCAUAGCUUAGUUUAUCUUCAUUUCUUCAACCGUAAUGCUUACUCUUGUUUAUUCAGCAGUAUUGGGGAUUGCACUUGGGGUCUUUGCACUGAGCUACACACCCCGUCUUUUCCCUUCUUUCCUGAGUCAAGGUGUCGCUAAACUGCAGAUUUUCCUGGGUUGAUCUCCUGAUUGUGAUUGUCCUGCCUCAGCCUCCUAGAGUGUAUCCGGCUUCACUCAUCUUUUAAAAGUGAAUUUUUACUGGGCUUUUAAGGCACAUUUCAAAUGCUGCCCCGCCCAUGGAGCUACAGUAUUUGGGUUCUGUAUGUCUUUUUCAGCUAAGCUGGAUGUUCUUCCCUUUUCAGGGAAUUUAUGGGAUUCCUACCAGCAGGUACCUGGUCGGGAGAUGGGAGCUAAACUUCCUUUUUUUGUGCCUGGACCCUCAAUGUCUUACACAUAGUAGGCACAUAGAGUACUUUCAUUAAAUUACAUUCAUGUUUGUUUUUUCCUCAGGGCUGCCGGGAUGUUUCUUUCUCUUUUGAGUCCAGGUUGAUGCUCCUCACUGUGGGGCGUGUGUCUGUGUGAGUAGCCCGCUUAGCUCCUUCAGUGAGGAGACAUACGUUGUUUAGUCCUUAUUUUAAACUACUUUUCAGAAUGGGAGAACAACGCCUUCAUUUUGGAUCCAUGUGAUGCACUUUGAAUUUGCUCAGCUUUAGUUUGUGCUGCCCCUCAUUCUGUGUGGAAAUUAGUUCCACCGAAGUGCCACUGAACUCAGAGCUGCCUGCAACUUGAGAUGCAAACUCCAACACUGUGGGCCACUUUUGAGAAGCAUGUGGUCAUUCGGGAAACAAAGACACUCCUGUUUCCUCUUCUCAAUAACAAUUAAGACAUCAGAUUAAUAGAAUCUUUAAAUUCUUGAAUGAUGCUUGCAGAACAGUUUGUGUUUGCUUUAACACAAAGGAAUACUUUCUGAAACCUAAAGGUCACCCAAGAAAUAAGAGAGAGACAAUUUAGGAAUGGUGCAUGCUGGUAGAGUUUUGCAGAAUGGCAUGUGUUCUUUACAGUGUGUUUCUGGCUUUGGAGCCACUUGGCAUGGGAGUACACUGUGAUUUACUGCAGACAGGCAUUCCUGGGCAAGGAGUCCCCUGCAUGGAAGGGACAUGCCAUCAGGAGAAGGAGAGGACACUGGGGGUGGGAUGGGGGAAGAAGACUUCUCAGUUCCCACUCUAGCAUUUACUUAAUGAGUGUAAUGUUCUUGCUAAUGGGAUUUAACCACAAUACCUGUCUCUAACCUUGUCACCGAAAAGGUAGUCUACAUGCCCCUCUUUUCAAUGCUGUCUGGGUGGAAACUGUGCCCAAGUCUGUUCUCCCAAUUUUCUAAGUGGUAAUCCUAGAAUUAUCUUGGCUCAGAAAUAAAUGAAGAACUCAUGUACAGGAGUCAGAUUUCCCUACAGGGGUUGUAACUGAAACAAGGAUUAAGUACCAGUGUACAAAACCUUUCAAGCAAUGGACAGCAUGUCAAUUGCGGAACACUCUAUCGUAGAAGGGCCCUUAGCGCUUCUCUUUUAUAAAGCCUGAGAUCAGAUUUUGGUGGAGAAUUAAAAGCAGGGCAAUUUAGCUCCUUUAAAGGGUUGCUGGUUUGGGAGGACCCAGCUAUUUUUAGCUCUGUUGCUGUCUGUCCAGGAAGCUAAAACAGCUAGUCAAUUAAAUGGUAAACAGUGUGUGUGUGUGUGUGUGUGUGUGUGUGUGCAAGGUGUUGUGUAGGAGUAGGGCAGGGAGCUGGGGAGAUAAAAUAGGCCUCAGAAAAGAGUCUACCCAGGGCAAGAACUUUGCAAAGAGUUGCACAGUGUCAUGCAGAUAAAGCAUCCACUGGUGGCCACCUGUUACACAGUGCACACGUUUAUUUGAUGUUGCGCAGCAGAUGGAAUGGAAUGACACUAAGCCAGCUGAUCACUCAUGCUCAGGCAUCCAUUGAGUGAUGGUCACAAACUCUCUGCCAUUUACUGACUAUCUGCUAUACACCUAGCAUGGCGCUUUACUUCCGGUGUGCCAUUGGAUGUUGACAGCUGCAGCCUGAGAAGCCGAUACAGAGACAUUUUUGCCCAAGAUUACCUACCUGAUAGGUGCCUGAACUGGAUUAGAAUCUAGUUUUCUUUCCAACUCUGCUCUAGUCACUUCUGUAGCCUGCCUCCCACACUGGUCCCAGCUGCACUGACACUAUGUGAUCUGAAAUCGGUGUGUGAGGGCACUUUGGCCUUCCUGGAGAAAGGCAUGGAGCACACACAGGCCCGAUAUGCACACACAGAAAUGUGUAUAUACUGAACCUACAUUUAAAUCCACAUUUUAAGUGUGCCAGUAUCCUUAAAAAGAAAUAAUGAGGGACUCUCAUUUACAUUUUGCUUUCCAGUUUUCCUGGAACUGUAAUUUGUACUCCUCUUUUUUAAAAAAAAUCCCCUUUACCUUCUUUUAUUUAUUAUGAUCCCUGGAGAAUGUGUCCUCUGCUCAUGGCCUAGAUAAGAGAUCAUGGGUAUGGAGCAGAGGUCAGCAAGAUAGACGUAUGUUAGAAAAAAAAAAGAAAAUAGCAGGGUGGAACCACAUGGCUCUUAGUGGUCAUUUUUUCCCCUCAUGCUGUGUAGCAAACCUGAGGCAUGCUCAAUUUGGCAUCUUUGAAUUUAAACCAUGGAUAAACCAAAUAGAUCACAAACUAUGAUUCCAAAUAGAAACUGUGGAUUUAUCCGAAGGUAUAUUAUAUGAUCUCAUCCAAACAUAAAAUUCAUAUUCUAAGAGUGGUGUGUAAAAUUCCCCGAGAUUUUAGUGCAAGAUAAUUUUCCCUUUUCAUGUGCCUUUCCUCAUAUUGAGAUAGGUGGAAAUCUUUUAAGAUUUUAAUUAACCUUCGUCCUAAUGAAAAACCAACUACCAAUCUAUAGAUGGAAGGAUAUUUCCUUGGACAAUGUAGCCGUUAGUGUAAGGUCUUGUUGAAUCUCUUUCAACAAGUGUUUGGAAAAAAUCAAAUUUAGAAAUAAACAUUCAUAUCUAGAGGGCCUAUCGGGGUUUCCCUCCAAGCAGACAAAGGAAUACUUUCAGUCUUAUUAUAUGUCUUUGGACAAGCUCAGCUCUCAGGGCCUGCUGAGCUCUAAUAUCUUACGAAUCACUAACAGUCAAACUUCUUUCAUUUUGAGGCCCAUUCCUGGAGGGAUAAAGAUAAUGUGGUCAAGGAUGCAACAAUCAGCUGUUGGACUCAGAUGUGGCUGUAGAUAUAAAACAGAGUAUCUCUUCCUUUCCAGAUCAAAGGGAGAGAGUCCUUAGAAUGCUCAAGUUCGAAGUAGACAAAGAGGAGAAGGAAUAUCUAGCAUCAAAAUAGUGGCAAAUAUAAAAAUCUAGGCUUAUUACUGAGACCUAGGAAACAAUUCUCAAGGAAUGUUCCUGCUGCCAGUUACCUGAGAUUUUUUAAUUACAGGCAAUUCAUGAUUACCUGUGAAAGGAGGGAUGGAGAGGAGAACUCAAACAAUGAAUGUUGCAAAAUCAUACAAAUUGGCUUGGGAAUAUUCUGCAUGAUUUCUCCCUCUUAGAAAUUUGCCUUCCUAAUUGUAUUUUGCUUAAUCCAAUAUUAAAAAUUAGUUGGUUUCCCCUGAGAAGCUCUGGAGUUAAACUGCAGAGGGAAUUAGUUUCAGGAGCAUGCCACUUGGAACGUGGUGGAUGAAACGUAUUCGGGCCUUAAUGGACCAAAAGCUCCCACAGAUAUUUUAAUCUUAAAGGAAAGUGUCAUCUUGAGCACCUUACUAGUCUUCUCAUGUUGCCUAAAAGGCUGUAAACAAGUAUUUGUGAUCGUUAUGUAGGUGAGAUUAUUUCUACCUAGAUUUGUGCAUUUUUACCUGGAGAAUGUUCCAUUCUCGUCUCUCCCCUCCUUGGUAGCUGUAGUAAAUAAUAAACCAUCUAUCAGACUUAAGCAUAGGGCCUUAAUGGGGCCAGAAAUUUUGUUGAAUAAAUGAGAACAUUACUUAAGGCAGGUCUGGGUCUCAUUGUGUGACACCCAAGCAAUCCAUGAGGUGAUGUUUGUGAUUUAGGAAUCCGAACCCUUAGGCUAUAGAGUUGUUUUCUUUGGGGUUCCAGACUAAGUUCCCUUUGCUUCCUUCCCAACUUCCUUAAUUCUUUCCUUUCUCCCUCCCUGCCCCAUUUUUUAUAUUUGCCUUGUACCAUAUUGAAAUUAUUUCAUAUUGUAAUGUUCCGUCAGUAUAUACAAAUUCAAAAGUAGACGUACAUCCCUUCAGCUUAUAGUGCAUCUACAACUGAAAAUCCAAAACAAAUUUGCACACUGAAUUCCAACAAAAUGACAAAUGCCGCACUCAGAUGAACAAUACUGAUUUGACGUGAUGAACGACAGUGAGCUAACAUUAAGUGCUCACUUGUGGCAGUGGUGGUGGACCGACUGGUAGGCUGGUGAUGCUUUAAUUUUAUCAUACCUUUCUGUGUUUGUGAUGUAGAAGACAGUUCUAACAUCUUACUUAAAUCCCCUAGAAAGCUUUGGUCCACAUAAGUGUGCUGAUAGAUCAUGUAGCCUCACGAAUCCAUAAUCCAUUUUUAGGUUCACAAUCAGGUAUUGUGGGUCCUGGUGAGUAUGUAGUUUUGGGGAGUAUUUUAAAUAAAAAGUUAAAAGGUAAUGAAAGCAGAAUAAGUGGGGUUCCUCUCAGGCCCUUGGAAAGAAUCUGUACAGAGCAGUGCUGAACAUCAGGCAUUCUUAGCUUCAAAUCCAUCUUCCAAAUCCAUCUCGUUCAUGGGUCAAGCACUUCUCUACUUUCCUUUUAUUACCAAUAAAAAUGUCCAACCGGGUAACAAUGAGGAGUUGUAUUUUGUUUUCAUUUUAAGGAUAUAGUUUUGCAUUAUACAUUGGUACUUUUUAAAGGUAAUUCUUAAAAUAAAAACAGAAAAUUAGAUAUGGUUAUUUGUAGCACAGAUGGUUGCACAAUCUUUUUAUGUAAACUAUUUCUCCUAUGAUGGAUUCCUACAAGGAAACCCUGGGAGAAAGUUUUGGGGCUUGCCUUUUUUUUCAGCAUUCGUUUAAUUUACAGAGGUCAUGGAAAUAGAGAGGUCAGCAUUUCUCAAGAACAGCUUUUCCCAACCUGCCUGGCUUCUCGGAGCUUGAUCUGGGGGCUCACACAGCCCUUGUCAUUGUCUGGCACCUCGCCUGGUAACAUGGUUGUGAGCCCUGUCAGAAGACAGGGCCAAAGUGUGCCUCAGGUCAGCAUUUCUCUGGGGACCGAGGGGGCAGGCAGAACCCAGAGGUCAGAUCUGCCUUGGGGAUAACAUUGCAGAGUCCAGUGGUUGCAAUCAGGUGUGUUAUAAGUCAAAGCCACAUGGCAAACAGCAGGCACAGGGAAUGCUCAAAGGUCAGAUGGGCAACACAAGCCAGGGUCAGGAAGAACUUGGAGCUACAAUACCAGUUGGCAAGCAAAGCAGUCAUAAAAACCAUGAUCAGGCACAUUAUGCCUGUUGGACCUAAAUUCUUUCUGCCUACGAGACUGCUGUGCUCAGAGACAUUGGCUCUGGUACCAUGUGAGAGCACCUGGUAGACUGGAGAAUAAACUAUUAUACUCAAGAUCUAACCUGCCCUCUCAGGUUCUCUUCUCUCUAAGACAGGACAGUGAUGUCUCCACUGAAGUGACCUCCAUCGUACAGGUAUCCAGGAUACAUGCUCUGGGUGGAGCUUAGUUCUAAGAGAAUGUUUAUCUUGGAACCUUCUAAGGCUUUUCAUCAAAUAGUCCUAGCUUUCUUACUCCUUGCUUUAUGGGGUUGUUGUGAAUGGGUUUUGUAAAUAAUAAAGGACUACCACAUACCAGAUGACUACAAUCCUUUCUUUCCAGUGGGGAUUCUGAUGUUUAUAUUACCUGAAAGUUGUUUUCAAGUGAGGUUCUCAGCUAAUAAAUAUUUUUUUGGGUUUUCUUUCUAUUUUUUUUUUCCUUGAUUGAGCCUCAUCUUUUUGGUGACCAAUAAUUUAUUGGAAAUUUUAUCUGAGAAAAAUGUUUGCAGAGAUGGAGAGUUUCCCAGAUUCAAAAGAGAUUUUUCUUCUAAAACUCAGAGCUGGUAGAGCUACAAGACCAGCCUCUUUGUCUAAUCAAUCAGGUUUUUAACACAAUACACCCAGCUGAUGCUUGGGUAGAAUACAAAUUCCCAGUCAUGUGAGCUCUUAUCAGUUAUAAUACUGACAAAGAAUUAGCCAGUCUCUUUUGGUAAAAUGAUAGUUGCGGGCGCCUUAAUUUUUCUAGAAAUAUUUGGGGGAUUUGAAAGCUUAAGAAGUAAACAGGUUGUUUUGCUCAGGAAACCUUCUCUGAAAGACUGAGCAGGGUUCAUCUGAUGACAUUAGCUUUGCAAGUAAUUUCCAUGAUGUCAAGGGCACACUGGAGAUUAAAGAGGGAUUAAGACCUCCUUGCACAGUUAUGGCAUUGCAGUAAAUGGACUGGACUUGGCAGGCUGCAGCUCCGGUCGGCAACUUUCCAACACCUAAUCAUACACAAUAUAGGUUUGUGGUGUUACCUGGGCUAUUUUCACAGAGGCCAAGAAAUGUUUAACAGAUAAGGUGGGAGGAGAAAGAGGCUGGGAAGGAGGGUGGACCUGAGAAGAGCAGUUUAAGACACACCUGCCACCAUCAAGAGCUGCCGAAGAAGAUCAAGACAUUAAGGAAAAACAAUUUUUUUCAUAAUGUUUCAAAACAUGAGUUUCCAUCCUUUUUCCACUCCCAAAUUCUCCAGAUAUGCCUCUCUCUUAAAAGCUUUUUAUCCUUCAUGUUAUUAUCAAUUUCUUCAGCAAAAGGAGGCAGGUUUGUCCAGGAACUUCAUGGAAUAAAAAUGAGUUUAUGUUUUAAAACGGAAACAGCUGGAUGGCCAAAGCCAGGCAGGGAGGCAGCUCUGGUUUCAUCAGCAAAGGGAAACUCAAGGGCCUGGAGAGAACAACUGGGCUGGCAGCCAUGGCGGGGAGAAGAAAAGGAAACACACGAUCAUAAAGAACUAAUCAUGAUGAAAAAUGAAAAGCGAGAAAGAGCCAAGAACAACAAGCAAUAAAUAGAUUUGGAAAGGGGAAAAGACCAAAGGAAUGCAAAACCAUACUCAGGAAAGGGGCAGCAAGAUCAUGUGCGUUUCAUUGAAAAAUGUUUAAUAAUUCUUAAAAUCAUUAAAGAGUCCUACAGAAAUGUUUGGAGAUAACUUGUCAGACCUGAGAUUUAAUUCUUUGUGUUAUUUCAAAGCUGAUUUCAGUGCAUGAAAAGAAACAAAGUAAGAAAGGAAGAAAGGAAGAAAAGGAAAGGAAGAAAGAAGGAAAGAAAGAGAAUCAAAUGGACCUAGAGGGAGGAAUCUAAUGUAUAAUGUGCCAGAAUGCUUGGAUUUUUUUCUUUCUGCUUUUAUUUUUUUUAACUUUUAAUUUCAGCCCGAUGGUAGGGAAAGUAAGCAAUUAGUUUGACUCUGUAGGUUCAAAGACUACAUCCAGGGCUGGGGAUUUAGCUCAGUGGUUUUGCCUCCUGCUGCGCAAGUGCAAAGACCCGAGUUCGAUCUCCGGUACCAAAAAAAAAAGGACUACAUCCAAAGUGAUAAAUCCUGAGUUUCUAAGAGUAAUUCAUACAUUCCUAGCUUUAAUUAGAAAUAGCAUGUACAUUUUUCUCUAUGCAGUAAUUGUCUGACAUUCAUGUGUUUGUCUCAAGGGACUGACAGUUCUGACUCACAGGUAGAUCUCUAAAUAUUUUCAGAUGAAAUUAACAUGGAUUUAAGGAGGACUUAAGAAGAAAACCAGAUCCUAGUUUGUUGUCCCUCUUGAAGUGUGUUCGACAUGAUAAAAUAUACAAACAUGGCCAAUUGUCCAGGCUAUCCUCGAGAUGGGAUUUUUAAUAAAAACUAUUUGAAGUUUUACAGCAGUUAUAGAUAAAAUCUUACCACAGAAAUGGUGCUGUCUUUUUAUAGGGGGGAUACUAAUUAUUAGCUUUUUUAAAAAAAUUAGUUUUUAAUAGCAGCAUUCGUUUAAAGAGAGAAAAAAAUGCUUAUGUUACCUUCUGGAAUGUACAUUCAUCUUGUUAAUGACACUGUAGUUCAUGGUUGGCAAAACAGGACUUCUGAAUCAACCUGUCUUUUUCUUUCCGUUUGGUAGUUACACUUGAGAAAGAAAGCCAGCCCACUAAAGAUACAUGAAAAGUGCAUGAAGACAGGAUAAAGGAUUUCCUAUGAUUUUAUGUUGUUCUUAAUUAGGAAGCAUAUUGGCAACAAAUGCUAACAUGUGUUAAGAUGUUUAGUUGUAGCCAAAUAAAUGUUUUCUAUUACAACUCUGAAUUCCAUGCCUACUAGGAAACCAUGCUGUUCUGUGCAUGGCUUACAAAAUCCCUUUACAAAUCAUCUCAAGGACCAAUUUUCUGUUGGCUCACAGAGCAAAACUACUUUCGCCACAUGUUCUCCUGAAGGGUCAUGGGCAACUCCAAGCGGAAGUCAAAGACAAGAGGAACAUGAUCUCCGAUGUUGGAACUGCACUGCUUUGUGGUAAUGAAUGGUCCUUCAUGAGCAUACUCAAUGUGAGCCCAGUCUCAGAAGGGGGUGUCCAGAAGCUAGGGAGCAGCACCCUCUCAUCUGUGUUUGUUUUUAUCUCAGUGGAGGAGAAGCCAAGUGAAGAAGAAUUUCCUAUAACUUCUGCUAGCAGUGUAUCACAAAAUGCUUCAUCUCCGAUGAACAAGAGUAGGCACCAAGCUGAGUAACAAGGCUAGAGAGGAUCCUUAUCUUGAUCAUUGCGUAUUUUUAAAGAGCAAACAUUUAUUUUCUACUUCUAAUGUCAGAAGUUGAUUGAAAAAGAACAAAAAGUGAAUGGUGGUGAAGUUGUUUCCUAAAAUUUAAUAUUAGGGCACCUUCUCUAUUCAGGAUCUUAUGUUGCAAGCUAACUGUACAACUGUCAUGCUUUUGGGGGGUAACUGGUGCAUGGAUUAUUCUAUCUGUGUCUUAGAAACUUUAAGAGAAAAGAUUUCCAUCAUGGUAUUUUCUACUGCAUUGCACAGAAAUUUUACAUACCCUCAUUCAUUUACACAGCUGAAAUGACACAGGAGAUAGCCAGCAUCUGUCCAUUGGUUGGAAAGCACUCUAGUUUUUUGAUAUCAAUAAGUCAAUGGAAUCCAUGACUUACAGCAAUCUUGCGGUAUUCAUUCAAUAUGCUAUGACCAUGUUACCUAAAAGCUUCAUCUCUGCUCCCUGCAAUAUUCUUCCUCCAAUUUUUGGCUGGUGUGUUCUCUCCCUUCUUCAUGCCUUUUUUCAAUUGUCCCAAUUCCUGAAGCUUCUCCUCAUGUCUCAAGUAUUCUCUUUCCCUGUGUGCAAUUAUUUUGUUUUCUUCAUUAAUUUAGUUCCUCUCUCCUCUUCUAGGCUAUACAUUUCAUGAGGAAAGAAAGGCAUUUUGGUGUCAUUCUGGUGCCUAAGAACCUAAGUAGGAGAUGUGUAAUAAAUAAUUUGUUCACUGAAUUAACAGGCCCAUAAUAUUUUUGUUAUUCCUCUCACAUCCAUGGGCAACAUGUUCAAAACCUUGAAAAUUAUUAAAUCAUUUCUCUGCAUUGCUAUGUAAAACUUCUAAUAUUCCUAAUAAGACUGACCAUGCUUAUGAAAUCUUUUUUCCUUGGCCCACUGAGUAUAUGGACCACGAAAUAUUUAACAAAAAAGUGAGACUGUACAAAGAAGCACUAGGUUAGUGAAAGAUGAUUUUUUUUUUUAGUGCUUUUAGGUGGUGACCUCUUAACAAUGUAUCAGAUCUUUUGUAAACCGUGAAAUGAAAUGACUGGCUAUCGGAACUAAAUUUGAAGAGAAAAACUGUCAUCUUCAAAGCAGUAAAAUCUCUAUAUAACCAUGUAAACUAAUUACUAGGUUAAGUAAAAUCACUGAAAUAUAUCAGGCCUUUCUCAUGUCUGCAGGGCAGACAUAAUACAGUAAAUUUCUAAUAGUCAGCCUGGGAAGGCGCUGUAAUGGUUAGAGGAUGUCAUGGUAAUAGUCUCAGUUUUGGUUGGGAGACUUACAAAGAGAAUAUUGGUUGUACAUAAACUGUAGAAUCUACUUGAAUAUUUCUUUUUCAUUUCUCCCUAUCAAAGAGUGGAAGAUAUUUUGUGUAUAAUGUUUUUUUUUAAUUUUAGAUUAUUUGGUAUAUUGUAUUUUUUCAUGUGGGUAACAAAAAUACGUGAGCAAGAGCAAAACCUACCAGAAGCCUCAAAAACAUAGGUACCAUGGAAGACCUCAUGAUUCUUUCAAUUAUUAAAAAGCACUAUUUUAAGAAGACAUGUUAGUAAUCCACAGUAAGUCAGAAGUAUUGGAUCAACACAUUGGAACAUUGAGUAUUUAUUUAGUUUUUGGUGCUGGGGCUGGAACCUAGGGUCUCACAUGUGGCAGGUAAAUAUUCUACAACUGAGCUGUACCCCUAGUUCUGAAUGUUUGUUUUAUUAGGUCAUUUUAUAUACAUAUAUAUUUAAAUUUGGGACAUUGUUUUCUAAAGUCUCAAACUACUCUUAUACUCAACCCCGAAGACAACCCAGCUCACCACUCUGGAUUACGACUAACUGUUUGCGUAUAUGUUUUUCCCAAGAAAUUAUGCACCUUGAAGAAAAAGACUUCAUUUUUUUUUGCUUCACAAUAUUUCCCAUGACCCAGUGCAUGGAAUGGAUAAAUUACCCUUAGCAGAGGCUCAUCAGCGAUUCCUGACUUCCCUGCUAACUUUUCCUAGAGAUGUGAAUUAAAGAUAGAAAUUUGUUCAGACCAUUGAUGGUCCUCAGAAAUACAAUCUUAAAAAGUUGAUAUCUAUCCGGUCUCAAUUCAUGGAGAGCGGUGGGAACCAGACCUCUGAAAAGUGGUUGAGUAUUGGGCUACAAGCUUAGGGGAUAGUCCAUGAGGAAUAAAACCAAAAACAUACAUUAACAUUUAUUUGCCCAAACGGCUGGUGCCUUAAAAGCUGGUGCCCUCCCCCAUUCCAAUUAACAUGGAGGGAAAUAUUCCAGCUGCUGGGAUCUUUCCUCUGCAUGCGAACCUGCCGUUGUUGCCUGGGUAGCCUGUGUGUCUCUUUGGAAUUGAUAAUGAGGUUCAAGAGAGAGAGGUAUGGCCUGUACUAAGCAUGUCACCCCUAUUUAGCACCUUUGCCAGGAUGGCAGCCACUAUUGUUUUAUUAUGUCCCUGAUCAGCUGGCACUAUUCAUAAAGUAAUCACUGCCAUUAACACAUCACGCCUCAAGCCAUCUGCUGCAGCAUCACGUACACCAAGCUGUUGGUUGCAAGCAAAGCAGGUGUCAUCUAAGGAUAGUGGCACGGUAAAGGUGGGAAGUCAUCAUAGUGAAAGAAGAUAUGUUCUAUCAAAUAAUUCCAUAUUUUGAUACAUUAUAGUAUAAUAGGCCAUGGUUAUUUUGCCCAACUUGCAGAUGGCUUAAAUAAGAUAAUUCAAGUUUGAAAUAUUUUAUUUUCAACACCGGUCAGUUAUGGAGCCAAAAAUGUCCUUGAAUACCUUGAUGAUAGCAUCUUGAUCACAAGUGGACUAUUGCAUUAAUUUGCAGUAAAGUUUAGAGCAUUCUUACAGAAGCCUUCCUCUGAUCAAUCAACUCUUCAAGUGACAAACAUUUACUGAGCAUGUAGUAAGUGACACUGAUACCUGUCUUGCUCAAAUUGUAAAAGUACUAGUUUAAAACAUGAUCUGGUAAUGUAUAUGGUAGAGACUCCAUGUGUACUGAAUUCCCACCCUUUGUUCUGUCCCUAACACUUCUCUUGAUUUUUGAAUAAUUUUAAGUUUUUAUUACUUUCCAUAUUGAUGGCAUUUUUAUGUCCAAAACAAGUUUACAUUGGAAAAAUAUAAUGAUUAAAUGCAAUCUAUAAAAAUGGAUAAAGUAUAGGAUGAUCAGUUAUUGCCACCCUCUUCAUUAUGAAGGGGAUUUGUGAUUAUACAAUCAUGAGUGGAGUUAAAAAUUUAAUUGAAAGUGUUAAGUGAGGUUAGGGAGUGAAAUAAGUGAUCAUACUUGGUCCAAAUAGUCUUUUCCACCUGCGUGUAAAGUGGAACUGCAUUCCUUGUUUCUUUAACUAUAGAAAAUUUAUCUAUUUGCUCUGUACUCCCCCCAUAAAAAAGAAAUAAUAAAACAUUAAUGAGAGUAGCUAACUCUGCCCUCUAUUUCAAUCCCCAAGCUUUGCUCUUAUCUUGGAAGUGAGAAGUGUUGGAUGAGGGGUUGGAUCUGCCAGCCCCUCUGUUACUUUUAGCAGCAUCCUGCUCUUCACUUGCUAAGGAUAUAUGUGUCUGGCUAUGCAGGCUGUGGUCCUAGGGUCCAUGUAACACAGCACUGUUCACCAGGACACACCUGUCCACAUAUCCUCUAGGCUACUGGGUGGUCUAAGGGAUUUUUAAGGCUAAAUUUGACUUUACAUUUAGAACUUCACCUCUAUGGGUGUAUGUUAAUCACCCAUGGAAUUGGUGAAGGCUACCGGAUUCCAAAAUCUAUUGAAAGCAAAGAUAGCCAUUUUCUAUAUCAAGAUUUCUCAACUACUUUUGAACUCAACUUCCUUUUGAAAGACAAAAGAAACGUCAAGCUCUCUUCUCAUCCCUGAAGAUUUGUGGAUCCAUCUGUUGUCACCAAAAAGACACUCUCAAGAUCUACUUUUGUAGGUGGAGUUAAGAAAAACGUUUUAAAACUUCUCUUCUUGCCUUUACACCCUGAGAAUUUGGAGUGUAGAUUUCAGAUGGGAAGUAGACUACUUUUCACUAUCAAAUACUCAAUUGAAGGCAAGAUUUAGUUAUUUUGACUUGAAGAUUGAAAUUUUGGAGUCUGGAAUGGCUACCUUUGAAAAUAUAAGUGAAGAUAAAAAGACACAAAUGAAGAAUCAAAGAACAAGCUAAUGAUUAUUGUCCUUUUCUAAGGGGACUACAUAUGCUCAAUAAAUCUGUGAUUACUGACUACCUACUGACUUACAGGGACAGGCAUGCUGAUGGUUUUGGAUACUGUAAUUUUAAGUUGACUUUGCCACAUGUGAUUUAAUACUUUGAAUACAAAGCCCCCAAAUUGUUUGCUAUUUUGUUUGGAUCAAAAUGUGUAGCUCAAAUGACUUUGUAAGACUGGCUUCUCAAACUAUCACCUGCCCUUACAUCAGGCUCAGAAAGAACACAAAGACAAAAGACUCUUAGGUCCACUUCUGAUGCAUUACCAGCUCUUGCAAAUGCUCAACCAAGAAAAUACAUAAUGGUUCCUCUUUCGUCACUUUUGUUAAAAUAUUUUUGUUGAAAGUUGGUAAAAGCUGUAGAUGAGCAAGCCUGGUCAUAGGUUUGAACCUGGCACAAACGACGAGGGCACCUGGGAGAUAUUCUCCCGCUGAACAUGUCCACAGUACAGUUUUUGCCUCAGGAGCAUGUUCACUGUGGCUCUGCAGGACCCAGUUGUGUGAUAGUGGGAGGCUGAUCGACUUAAAGCACAUUGGUAGCUUGUGAACACUUAAGACUGGAAACCUUCUUUGAUAAAUGCACAUCUGUCUUCUUUUUUGAAGUCCUUAGGAAAAAUGUUGCCGGACAUUUUGCUGCCCGGAGGAGUCUAGACUUCCUUAAGCAUAAACCUUAAUCCUUCCUGGCUUCCUGCUACAAUUCUUCUGUUUCCUCCCCCAUCUUUUUCUGGGCAAAGCCAAUUCUUUUUCUCUACUCUUACCUGAGGGUCUCUGUUCACUUUUGAAGCCACAGACAAUGCAAGAAACAUUUAUUCGAAUACCUAGGCCCCAAAUGUUUCUGGAAAAAUAAAAGAUGUGUGACCAAGGACAUUACUUACCCUUUCAAUCUGUGAAAUGGAGACAAUCCAGAGAUAUCCCCUAAGGGGCCUAUGGGUAAUCAUAUAAUGUUUAUAACUCUAUAAAACAAUGGGAUACUUAUCCUUGCAAUUUGUAAAUAUAAAUUUAUAAAGACUAUAACAGUUUAACUUAUUAUAGUACUUAUCAACAUUGUUAUGUGAGUACCAUGCACUAGCCCAUUGUGUCACUGAAACCCCCUUACUGAUGUUGUUAAACACUCAGGCUUCCAGAACAUACUAAGUGUUCAAUAAAUAUAAUCAGUUACUAUUUAGAGUAAGAUAAAAAGGUAAUAAAAUAAAGCUGUAAUUCUUGUAUGUACACAGCAUGGAGGAGAAAGACUACACAGCAUGGCUAAAGACUUGGAGAUCUGACUUGAAUAUUUUAAAGGACGUAUCUUAAAGCCUCCUUGAGGUAAAAAGCUUUGCUCCACCCAACGUCCCUGCCAUGAUGUUCUGCCUCAUCCCAGAACCAAAAGCAAUGGAGACAAGUGACUAUGGACUGGAGCCUCUGAAACUGUUUUUACUUGAAGACACCGAGAACUACAGCAUCAUUCAUUGUUGGCAUGUUACAGUAGAAAGACCACUGGGCUUGGGAGUAAGAAGAUGGAAAUCAAAGAGCCAGUUUUUUCACUUCAACAAAAUGGUGCUGAAGAAAUAGGAUAUUUCAGUGGUUCCUGAGCAUAACUUACAACAUCAGCAUGGUUGGAACUCUGUGCACACAUGCGUACACAUGGAUUACCCUCCUGAGCCUUUGGUUCAAAAGAUUGGAAAUUGAUUCCUAUUGUUUACAAGCAGCUGGUGUCAAUGACUACUGAUACAUCCAUUGAAUUCUAGUUUCUUCAUUUGUAAAACAGGAAUAGCAUUUCCUAUCCGUCAUAAACGAUUGUUGUGAAGAUUAAAUGCAACAAUAGACUUGUGGCACAGGCAUAAUGCUCAGAGGAAGCUCCCUUGUUUCUUCUUCCAGUGAGCCUUCCUUGUUGUAGCUCAGAGCUUCCCAAAGGGGAUUAGCUCCAUGGGAUGCUCUGCGGAAUGACUGUGUCUUGGGCAGUUGUAUUUGACACUUAGUCUUCCUUCCUGCUUGCUAAUGGACCAUUAGAACUUUAAGGACUCUAAAAUGAGCAGAAGAAAACGGACUGGUUAAAUCUGUUGCACUCAGUGUCCCCCAAAAAGUUAUUUUACUAUUAAACUUUUUAAAGUGGCAAUUAUUAAUUGAUGUUCAACAGAGCAUGCUUCAGGGAUCACUUCCCUCUACAAUCUCUAACUAAUGUUCUACCUUUCUAUAACCUCUCUCAGGGAAUUUACUGCUUGUUUUGAUCUGAUUAAGACCCAGGCUUUCUAAUCAUCCCGGACAAUAUCUGCUCUUUUUCUGAACUACUAAUUUCAGUGGACACUCAUAUUAGUGAUGAUUCUAUUUAACUUUAACUUCCUGAGAUUAUGAAGGUAGAACACAAAUUAUCUUGGAAGAAAUUAAACCAACAAUUUAGAAAUAAAAUUAAUAACUAAACAGUAAAAAUUCACAAGUACAAGGGUGUUAAAUAAAAAAAGAGAACAUUAUAUUUUGAGAGAGCAUAACUUACUCUUGCACCCAGUUUGAUGGGAUAAAUUUAAAAGUACAAGUUUGUCUGAGAGCUAAAUUAAUCCAAUAGUCAGAAAUACCUUGAUAAAAACUUAUAAAUGAACUAAAAAUAGUUAAAUGAGAUUGCUGCUGGAGGAUAACAACAUUGAAGUUGCCAAUCUAAGAGCUAUUGAGAAGCAGAAUAUAGUUACGUAGGUUUUUGGGGUGACAUAAUUUGCCUGGUCUGUAUUUUUAAAGGAAGGUGGACUAUUUUGUUUCUAUACAUCCUCCUGGAACUGAGAAUGUAUAUCUUUAGUUGAGGUGUGUCUAUAAAAUAAUGUCUUACUUAUUCAGGCCUAAGUGGAAGAGGGUACACCUGUAUGGAUGCAUGGCUUGAGGCGAAUGAGUGAACAAGAUAGUUGGAUUCAGGGUAUAAAGUUCAAAGCCAGGUCAGGAAGAGUUAGCAUUAAGACUUUGCUUCUUCAGAUAACUACUCAAUAUGUAUAUUUUUUGCAAGCAUCUUGCUUUUGCAGGUCUGCUAUGAAAAUCUCAGAAGAACAGCUUUGCUUGUGAGCUCUCCCACAUUUCUACUCUGGUCCUGGCCAGAAAGACUGUGAGAACACCCUUUCAUUUGGUAUUUGAGCCCUUCUGCCUCUAUUCCUGGCUUCAGACCAAAGGGAAUAAAUGCAACCGAACAUUUCAGAACCUCGAAAUAGUAAACCGAAAAUGGUUUGCUCUGCUUUUGGUUCUAAAAAUGAUUGACCUGAGAAUUUUUUUUCCAAACUAUCUGCUUGGUCCAUCUCUAGUGUGGAUUACUGGACUUUAGAAACCUGAGGAGGAGAGUAUUUCUUAGAAAAUACAUAAAGAAAAUAUGCAAACAAAAUUUUUAUAAUAAAGGUGCCCAGUUGCUACAACAGAGGUUAGAUUUUACGAGCAUGGUUUAUAUUCCUGAGUAUUUAAAGCAGAAGAGGCUUGGAUGAGAAAGUGGAAAACAUGGGCUUGUAUGGUGAGCCAGUUCAUCACUAGCUUAGUGACCAGGGCAGAUUCCCUAGGCUUUGUCUCCUCUGGGCAAAAUGAAUAGAAAUCAAAAGAAUUAUACUUAUUUUAAUUGAGUCAUUAUGAAGAACAAGGUAUUUCAGAAUACCUUAAAAAUUACAGUGCCAAAGACCAUGUGAAAGUCAGUAAAUCAUAGGGACUACAAGUUUGUAUGUUACCACCAAACACACCUGGUUUCAAAUCUCUGUUCCUCUGCAUUCCAGCUCUGUGACCUGCGUAUGUCACUAAAAACCUCUGAACACUGAUUUCAUCAUCUGUGAAAUGAGGAGAGUGAUGUUGGGAGAAGAAAGUCAAAUGAUGUAAAAUGGUAUUGAUGAUGCCUAUUGUACAUACUCAUAGUUCCAGGUGCCAAUCUAGAGAACCCUCUGAACUAUUUUCCACACAGUUACUUAGUCUUCUGAAUCCCAUUGAGUUGACACAAGAAUGAUGCCCAUGUGUUGGGUGGCUGCGUAGGGGGUCAGUUUACUUGCUUGGAUCCAAAAUAUGGAUUAGGCUCAAUGGGAAUAUCCAAAGGAGAAAGUAGAACACUCUGGCCGGGCUAUGCCAAGUAUAAAGCAAUGCUGAUUUGGGUCAAUUUUUAGCAUCCACUUUUCAAUAGCAAAGAGAGAAAGGUGAAAGGUAAAACUAUAUGCAGGGCCACUUUUUGUGGAAUUAGAACACCAGGACAGAUUUUCUUACAUUAGGGAUAGGAUACUUGUUUUGUGAAAAACAGGUAUUCACUAUAACUAAAUAUACAAUGUCACUGGUAGUUUACUUGAUAUUCCCUACACACAUUAAGGAUAGGAAUUUAGUAAAUAUUUGAUUUGAUUAAAUAUUAAAGUAUCAUAUAAGUCUUCCAAUGAAAACACUGUCUUUAAUCCACCCAGCAGGACUUACUGUUCUGCUACCCCUCUAAGGUGUUUGUUAAAUAGCAUUCUCUCUUCCUCCCUUCAUAGUUAAAGUUUUUGAGUGAAUAAUCCUAUUGGCAGCAUUUCUUCAUGGAUUUGGAAUCCCUACAUUUCUCUCCCUCUGGGUAUUGACACUUCUGGGCACUUGUGACUCCCCAAGGGCCACAUCCAAUGACAGUUUGUAAAUGAGAUUCUCUUUUGCCAUUUUGCAUCUUUUACCUUCUGCAGCACUUUUUUGUCCCCUCCCCCAAUUACAGUGAAUCCUUUUCUGUCGCCUUCAGGUGCUUCCUUGGGAUUCUGUCCUUUAUCGCCUUCUCUUUACCCCAUACCUUAAGCCAACCCUGCCAAUCUACUACUCUAGUUAUCUCCCCUACCCGAAACUCUGGGCCCCCAUAAUGUUCCUCCCAAGCUUGUUAUCUUCACCUGGAUGUCGUCAAGCUUGGUGUCCAAAGUCAAAGCUCAACAACUGUCUCUGUAAGCCGGCUCCCCUCUCCUGCCCCCUUCACUUCAGCCAUUUUGUUUGUAUAUGAAAAUAAACUUCUCCUGGUGGGAAAAAUUCAAACCCUCAGCACUAUCUUGGUCCCAAGGCUCUCGUUUGACCUCAAGUUCCAGGAAAUUCCCAUGUUUAGUUGUGAGCCUGUCAAUUUUAUCUAACUAUGUCUGCCACACUUACAGGGUGGACAGAUGAUGCUUCGAGGGUCUCUGGUUCUCUCUGGGAUGUGUACUCAUGCGUUCUGAAGACAGUUGCUAUAACUCCAGCCAUUUCUUCUGUAUUUUAGACAGGAAAAGGAGAUAGACCACAGAAUCAAAGGGCACUUGCCAAUGCCCAAGGGGCAUCCUUUAAGGGGAGUUUUCUUGAAGGAACUGUUUGAUAAUCUUUGCUUAUAUUGAGUUGACCAGAGCAGAGCUGCAUCAAUCCACCAGGGAGGCAAAGAAAUAUAGUCAAAACAUCUGACCACAGUGCUGCUCCAAUGAGAUAGAACACUAUGGGAAGGGAAGAAAAAGCAGCAUGAGAUUGAGUAGAUGACCAAGGGUCUUUACAAACCCGUUCUCUUUACUUUCCUAUGUUUUCUUAAAAGAAACAACCACUGAAUUUGGAAGGAUAAAAGAGACUACAGUUCUUUCUUUCCCACCCUCAUCAUCUUACUUCAUACUCUUCUUACCUUUUUGCUUAGAUUCUUGCAAAGUUACAUGUAAGUCCCUACUCCACUUUUACUAUUUCCUCGGGUCUCCACGCAUUUAUUAAAGAAGAGAGUGUUGCUGAUGGGCACUGUGCAACAUGCUCAGGAUGAAAGAAACAAUGUCCUUGUUCUUGAUUUGAUCUACACAUUAUAUACCUGUCACAAACAUCACACUGUACCCCAUAAAUAUGCACUAUUAUUAUGUGUCUAUUAAAAUCAAUCAAUCAUCAAUCAAUCCCAUGACCUUUGUUAUGGUACAUAUAGUCCUGUCGGGGAGACCAACAUGCCAGCAACUGGUCCCAGUACACCACAUCACAGGAUGAGAUGGACGUGGACGAAAUGAAUUGAGGAAGCAGAGAGAAAACCAUGGCUACUGGAGCCUGGGAAAGUCUGAGAAGACUCUAUAGAAAAGUGGAUAUUGUCAGCUGAGUUGUGUUUUAGUAAGCAUUUCACAGGCCAACUCAAAGAGAAAUAAUAAGUUUUCUGUGUUUGCAAACUAUUGCCCAUGAAAAACUGAGGGGUGACAUACUUGACCUCACUCCAAAUUUAAUUUUUAAAGAAAGGAAUCAUAAGUAAAAGUAAUUUAAAAUAUAACAUUACAGGGCACAGUAUUGAUAAAUGAGAGGAAAACUGGUUCUUAAAGAGUGUACCACUCACUGACCAUGCCCUGAAAUUAACUGAGAACUCAUUUGUCAAGAGUGUACCUACCCUGAGAAAAUCUUCCAAUUAACAUCAAAAGUGAUCAUUCUUAACCUCUCAUGCAUUAAGAAAUUCUUGUCUGCACCUGAUGUUCUGUUCAUAAUCAAUGGAGCUCUUUAUGUAUGUUAUUUCAAAUUUAUCACCCUGUAUAUUACUAAAAUGAACGAAUUAAUAAAUGAAUCUGCUGUAGGUCCAGAAGCCAGAUUUAUUUGUUGUCUCCUGGUUCUCAUAGGAUUUUCCUUUGGUCUGUAAGUCAUUUCACUCUGCAGUUUCUCACAGUUUCCGAUAUUUAUUGAUAGCUACUGACAGCAUGUGUUGGUACUUACAGACCAAUGGUGUCUAUGUAAGAAAAAUGCUUUUUGGGAGGAUUAGAUCUGUUCUGAAAAAUGUCAGCCAUGUCACUAUCAGACUAUGCUAAGAAGACAAUGCAAAAGUCCUAUCAGUUCUAACUGUAAUAUAUUGUCACAGAAACAUGCCUCAAGAUAAAUUAAGUAAUACUUGAUGCUGUCAUGGUAAUGGGAAGAUUGAUAAGUUUAUAAACUUUGGUUGAGAACAAAUUAGUGCAAUAUUCUUGGUGGCCACUAUCACGAUAUGAGAUUAAGAUAUGUUAGGCUAUAUCCCUAAAUUUGGACCCUUAAUUUCUACCUAUAAGAAUCUACCUAUGAAAAUGAUUAAAAUUUAGAAUAUGAUGUAGAAAAUGGAAGUCAGAGCAUUCAAUAAACUGCAAAAUAUCCAAGAGCUCGAAUAUUAUGUAGUCUAUCAAAAAUUCUGUCUUCAAAUAUUUUUGAUUACAUAAAAAAGUGCCUGUUACAUUCAGUGAUGGACAAGAAGGAAAGUAUUAAGGUCUCAUCCCUCUCUAUGUGGAUAAAUGUCAUUCAUGUUUAUGCAUGCAUAUCUUUCAUGUGAUUUGCACUGGACUGCUAAGAGUUUAAGUGAUUCCUGUUAUCUUCAGGGUUAUCUAAAUUUUAUAACUUUCUACAUCAAGAAGUGUGAGUUUCAUAAUCAGGAACAAAAAAGAAAAUCUUAAAAGGAAAGCUAAACAAAGAUCAUGCAAGAGAGUAGGAAGGGUUUGUUUUUGGCCCUUUUCAUAUGUAAUUGUCUACACUAAUAAUUCUCAGACUUGCAUACCAAGUGAAGUCAAUCUCACUAAGGGUCUCAAUCAAGACUCAGGCUUGAGUGUGUGCUCCAGGCUCUGAGCAUUCCCCCAUCACCCCUCUCCAUCCUGUCCUCCAAAUUUCCAUCCAUUUUUUUUUUUCAAGCCAGGAAUGUUCCCAUAUGUCUGUAAUCCCAGCACUUUAGGUGGCUGAGGCUGGAGGAUUGCAUGUUCAAGCCCAGCCUGGGCAAUUUAGUGAAUUGGAAAGACAUUGUUUCAAAAUGUAAUAAAUGAAUGAAUGAAUGAAUGAAUAAUAAAUAAAUGAAUGGGCUGAGGAUGUACCUCAGUGGAAAGGCCCUGUGUUUAAUGCCCAGGAUUGAAAAAAGGAAUUUACUUUUUUACCAAAGCACAGCUAUUGUCAUGUGACUCCCUCCUUGAAGCAUCAUUAUAACUUCCUGACUGCUCGGCGUGCUCAGCGUGGCUCCAGCUCCUGUCCACCGUCUGAUACCUUUUGUAUCGCCUCAUCUUCUGACACUCCAGCCCAGCAGGCGUCUGGUUCCCUUCACGACACGCCUCACUCUGCCCUCCCAGUCACUGUUUCCUCAUGUUUGUUCGUUCUGCUCACCCUUCAAAGCCCUGCUAAAAUUCCUAGAAUGUUCAUUGUGAAUGUUUUCCUCCAUCAUUUCCUCUGUGGACUGUAUUGGUCUCUUUUAUUGCAUUUACCAGGAUUUAACUUGUUUCAUGCUUACUUGUGUCUUUCUCUUCUUGUGUUGUUAGCCCCCCAAAUUAUACCAUCUGUUGUGAUUUUCAGUUGUUAGCAGGUAUUACAGUCAUCUAAGGGUUAAUUAAAACAGAAAUUUGGGGUCCCAUUCCAAGUAUUUCUAAUGCAAUAUACCUGUGGAGGGGCAUAGGAAAGUCCUUUUCCAAUAAGGCCACAGGCGCUGCUGCUACAGUUGGUGACAGAAAACACUUUGAGAACCAUUGCUUUCCAAGGAGGGUGAGAAUGAUGUAAAACAAAUGAGACUCUGCUUUGCUGUGGAAGAUAGAGCACGGAUAGUGAAAUCAUAGGAUUUCAUGCAACUUGGGUUAGAUUUCUGUUCUGUCACUUGAUGUUUGAACAAGUUACUUAACCUUUCUAAGAAACUUAACUUUCUUGCCAGGUAGUUUAGGAACAUUAUUAACUCUUAUAUAAGAAUUUUUUCUGAGGGUUAUAUAGGAUUGCAAAAUACCCAAUAAAUGGUGGCUACUACUAUGAAUCCAUUUAUUCUACAAAAUAACCGUGUAAGAUACGUUUUUGCUCCCAUUGGCCGUACUGUACCCCCAGACAGCUUCUUGGACUUUUAAUUAAAG
Heterocephalus glaber (naked mole-rat) is the source of this 22909-nucleotide long non-coding RNA. NCBI's taxonomy places the organism in Eukaryota, Metazoa, Chordata, Mammalia, Rodentia, Bathyergidae. The record is from Ensembl.